GGCUAGACUGCGCAUGUGUGUCAGUGGCGUUAGCGGCGGACCAGGCUGGCAGUUCCUUCCUCGGAAGGAGAGAUUCCUCUGCCAUGGAGUCCUACGAUGUGAUCGCCAACCAGCCUGUCGUGAUCGACAACGGAUCCGGUGUGAUUAAAGCUGGUUUUGCUGGUGAUCAGAUCCCCAAAUACUGCUUUCCAAACUAUGUGGGCAGACCCAAGCACGUUCGUGUCAUGGCAGGUGCCCUCGAAGGCGACAUCUUCAUUGGCCCCAAAGCGGAGGAGCACCGAGGACUGCUCUCCAUCCGCUAUCCCAUGGAGCACGGCAUCAUCAAGGACUGGAACGACAUGGAGCGCAUCUGGCAAUACGUCUAUUCUAAGGACCAGCUGCAGACUUUCUCAGAGGAGCAUCCUGUGCUCCUGACGGAGGCGCCUUUAAACCCGCGGAAAAACCGGGAACGAGCUGCUGAAGUUUUCUUCGAGACCUUCAAUGUGCCAGCCCUUUUCAUCUCCAUGCAAGCUGUGCUCAGCCUUUAUGCCACCGGCAGGACCACGGGUGUGGUGCUAGAUUCUGGGGAUGGCGUCACCCACGCCGUGCCCAUUUACGAGGGCUUUGCCAUGCCCCACUCAAUCAUGCGCAUCGACAUCGCUGGCCGGGACGUCUCUCGCUUCCUUCGCCUCUACCUGCGCAAGGAAGGCUAUGAUUUCCACUCAUCCUCCGAGUUUGAGAUUGUCAAGGCCAUAAAAGAAAGAGCCUGCUACCUAUCCAUAAACCCGCAGAAGGAUGAGACACUAGAGACGGAGAAGGCACAGUACUACCUGCCCGACGGCAGCACCAUUGAGAUUGGUCCUUCCCGAUUCCGGGCACCUGAGCUGCUGUUCAGGCCAGACCUGAUCGGCGAGGAGAGCGAGGGCAUCCAUGAAGUGCUGGUGUUCGCCAUCCAGAAGUCUGACAUGGACCUGCGGCGCACACUUUUCUCUAACAUCGUCCUUUCGGGAGGCUCCACCCUGUUCAAAGGUUUUGGUGACAGGCUAUUGAGUGAAGUGAAGAAACUGGCUCCGAAAGAUGUGAAGAUCAGGGUAGGAGCAUGCUGGGGGCGGGGCCAGGGGCUAGGUGGAACUGAGCCUCCAAGGAUCUGGAGGGCCAUGUGGCGUGGCCUCCCCUCCUGCUCUGCCCAAGUUUUUCGGGCACCGCCAGAUGGCUCCCAGCUUCUACUCUGCCCCUGAAGCCCGCCAGAGGGGAGGACCCAUCUUCACUCUCCCUCUUCACAAAAGGGGGCAGUUCUGAUACCCAGAUGUGGCAGGGUGCUAGGCUGAGGGCCCCACAUGUGGGCUUUCAGGGAAACUGUAACACUGACAGGAGACUGACUUUGGCUGCUCCCCUGUGGCACAGUCUAACAUCUUAGUGACUGCUGAGGAGAGCUGGCCUGCCUGAGGAAGGAGGGAUCCUGAAUGGAGGAGUGUGGUUCCUGCCGUACAGUCUGCUUCCCACCAGCCCCCGACAGAGCCAAAUCUUGCCCGCAGAUAGCCCCAGCUUCCCUGGGAGCCAUAGAUACUUAGGGAUGCCGGGAACCUGUUUCUUCAGAUGAGCACGCUGGCCACAGUACCCCCCAGAGAGGCCACAGGGUCCAGCAGGGACAUAACUUAAAGCCUGUUGUAUGAAAUAUAUCCACUGAAAUGUAUCCAUGUGUCCACCGGCUCUCACUGGCGGUGAGCAUUGGCCAUGAAGGUGAGUACUGGCAGGGAAAGGGAGAGGGGAGGAUGGACGUCUCAGAUUCCUCUUUCCACCCACCCCUGCAGAUAUCUGCACCGCAAGAGAGACUGUAUUCCACAUGGAUUGGGGGCUCCAUCCUCGCCUCCCUGGACACCUUUAAAAAGAUGUGGGUCUCUAAGAAGGAAUACGAGGAAGACGGUGCCCGAUCCAUCCACAGGAAAACCUUCUAAUAUUGGGACAUCAUCUUCACCUCUCUCUGAAGUUAACUCCACUUUAAAACUCGCUUUCUUGAGUCGGAGUGUUUGCGAGGAAUUGCCUGUGUGUAUGAGUGUGUGUGUGGGUGUGUGGGUACGAGUGUGUGCGCAUAUGCGAGUGCCGUGUGGCCCGGGGAUCCCAGGGAUCCUGGGGCCCAGAAAGGACGAUGAACUACCCACGAUGGUGACGGCCUGAGACCUGGGGUUGACCACUAACUGGCCCCUGACAGGGAAGAGUGCUGGCAGAGGGCCCUGAUCCGUCAGCGGGGUCUUUGGCUGGCUGUGUGGGACUAUGUUUACUACCAUAGGGAGACAGAGAGGGAGGUAAACCCAACCCCCGGGAGACCUUGCUGCUGCCCAUCCUAGGCUGGGCCAGCCCCACCCCUACCCCACCCAGGGUGCCCUGCGGCCCAAGGCAGCUGCUGCCUCCCCUUGCUCAUCAUUCUGCUCUCAAUGCCUCUUGAUCACGGACUGAGGGCCAGGGUUGAGUUCUGUCUGGUUUUGUUGCAGUUUGGGUUUAGAAAGCUGGAAGAGCACUCCAGGAGUGGUUACUGAGACUUCGGUAUCAGGAGGGGGCAGGAUGCCCUCAGCUUCACCUGGAGACCAGGACCACACUGGGCAUUUGAGGAGGGCAGGAGUAGUGCUACUUCUGAUUGGUGGCAGAGUUAACGCUCUAACCCCCAACCCCCACCCGGGGAUCUUGGGAGAGUUUCAGGAGCCUGUUGGUCCCAGGCCCUUGCUUUCCAUCCAUCCAUGGGCAAAGCCAUCUUCAGUUUUAUUUAUUGAAGUGUUUGUUCAGUACAGGAACUGGAGCGAGGGAGCUCACUGCCUCCUGCCCGCCAGUCACCCUGUUCACACUAACGUUUACAGCACCUAAGCUUAGCGUAGCGUCCAGGGCCCCGCCACUCCCUGCUAACGGUGAACUGACAGUAUCCAUAGGCCUCAGGACCGUUUGGGAUCAGAGGCUACACUCAAAGUCACUCCAGCCUCUUUCUUUCUCCCUCUUCCACUUGCUCACCGGCCUGGAAUCAACAGGCUGGUUGCUGGUUGGAUUUUCUGAAACAGGAGGCUGCUAGCAAAGGAGGGGUGUUGGGGAUCCAGCCUCCUUAGGACUGGAGAAAGAGCUGCAAUUAAGUUGCCUUUUCCCACGCUAGCUGACCCAGGGGGGACUAGGUUGUAGAGGCGAGAUGGCCCCCUCUGGGCUGAUUUGUGCCAUUCUUGUCUUUGUACUUGUUUGGUUAGGGAGGGGCCAGACAAGAGUGCCAGGAGCUGAUGGGCUCAGGCUCACCUCCUCUGGUCCAGUGGGGCCACGUGCCUAACCUGGACUGGGCUGGCCUGGCAGUGGUCCCAAGUCUCUUCAGGCCAGACGGUGCAAAGCUGGGGCUAGCAGAUAUUCACUGGCACCCUCACCUGUGACACCAAGACCUGCCCUGAUCCCAGAUUCCAGGCAGUAUUCUCCCCCAUGCCGUCCAACGACCAAAGGCCCUGCCAGGUGUGGGCCGCAGCAGCAGGUGUGUGUGAAAGCGAUGUGGCGACCCACAGACUGCAGUGUGCUUAACCAGCUCACCUCCCCCCCCUUAGCCCAAGCCUGUCCCUCGCACAGCCUCGCACAAACCACGUUGCCUGGUGGGGCCCAGUGUACUUAAAUAAACUCGUUCCAAUAGACA
This is an RNA transcript of Balaenoptera musculus (blue whale), 3625 nucleotides long. It is a transcript of the gene named actin related protein 1A, with no coding region annotated. Lineage: Eukaryota; Metazoa; Chordata; Mammalia; Artiodactyla; Balaenopteridae. The transcript is spliced from 10 exons. The record is from RefSeq and is a predicted model, not a curated record.